Molecule: ribosomal RNA, 458 nt
Filed under: uncultured Treponema sp.
Lineage: Bacteria; Pseudomonadati; Spirochaetota; Spirochaetia; Treponematales; Treponemataceae
Description: partial 16S ribosomal RNA
Rfam family: Bacterial small subunit ribosomal RNA
Source: RNAcentral
ACGGGAGGCAGCAGCUAAGAAUAUUCCGCAAUGGACGAAAGUCUGACGGAGCGACGUCGCGUGGACGAUGAAGGCCGGAAGGUUGUAAAGUUCUUUUAUUAUCGAGGAAGAAGUGUAAUAGGGAAUGAUUGCACGGUGACGGUAGGUAAUGAAUAAGCAUCGGCUAAUUACGUGCCAGCAGCCGCGGUAACACGUAAGAUGCUAGCGUUGUUCGGAAUUAUUGGGCGUAAAGGGCAUGUAGGCGGUGAAGUAAGCUUCGUGUGGAAGUGCAGUGCUUAACACUGUGAUGCGCGGGGAACUGCUUUUCUAGAGUUGUUGAAGGGUAGACGGAAUUCCGAGUGUAGGGGUGAAAUCUGUAGAUAUUCGGAAGAACACCAAAGGCGAAGGCAGUCUACCGGCGAAUGACUGACGCUGAGAUGCGAAGGUGCGGGGAUCGAACAGGAUUAGAUACCCUGGUA